Molecule: long non-coding RNA, 2904 nt
Filed under: Lynx pardinus (Iberian lynx)
Lineage: Eukaryota; Metazoa; Chordata; Mammalia; Carnivora; Felidae
Source: RNAcentral
CAAGCGGGAAGGGGCAGAGAGAGGGAGACACAGAAUCCGAAGCAGGCUCCAGGCUCCGAGUUGUCAGCUCAGAGCCCGACGCGGGACUCGACCCCACGAACCGUGAGAUCAUGACCUGAGCCGAAGUGGGACGCUUGACCGACCGAGCCACCCUGGCGCCCCUGUUGAGGUUAUUUCUUCACUGAGAGCCAAAAACGUGCUGGGGGGAGAGGGGGUCGAUCUAGGGACGGAUUGGGUAUGUAGGUGGAGGGCCUUAGGCCUUGGGCUCAGCUCUCCUGGACACAAAUUUCGAGGUGGGCGGAAUAAACCUCCAGGCUGAGCCUGGGGGAACAGAACAGGUUCCCUAGUGAGACCCUAGUGCCCUAGUGAGACCCAUUGUGGACACAGGUGGGAAGGUGUGGACGCCCCUGAGCACACGUGUGUGGAUCCGAGCGCCACGAGACACUGCUGCGGGGGCUCUGGUUCCCCGUGGACACCGGUGUGGGGUUCUGGGCUCCUCUGGACACGUGGGGAGCUUCAGCAGCCUGCACGACAGCGGUGGGUAGCAUGAACCCCAAGCUCUCGCAGCCCCAUUUCCCUCCCGCUCCUUCCGCGAUUUACCUGAUUCGGAUCAGGCCCCCAGCCCCACACGCCCCGGCGCGGCCUCCGCCUUCCGGCCCGGCCCCUAAGUCCCACUCCCGCAUCCGCGGGGCGUGCUUUGGGGGUGGGGGGGGCGCCCCGCGCGGAGAGCCUGGGCGGAAUCCGUUCCGGAAGAGACCGGUUUGGGGGGCGAGGGGCGUGGCCCAAGUCACUGACUGCGCUGGGAGUUCUUGGAAGUCGCUCGGUGCGGCGCGCAGGGGCGGGACCCGGGGGGAAGAGCGCGAGACGAGGUGAACUCGUCUAUCCCGCCCCCGUCUGUGAUUGACACCCCGAUCGCUCCGCCCCGCGUUGUGGUAGUUACUGACCUCGACCUCCCCGCCUAGGACUCACAUUUCCUGGCGGAGAUCGAGGCCCCGCCCCGCCUGGCCUAGGCCUGCGCCUUCCUGGCUCGGACGCGCGGACCUCGCCCCAGGUUCCUGGAACCGGGCAAACCGGUCCGGGUGCUGCUUCUGUGGCUCAGCCCUUUCACAGGUUUGCGGAGGCUUUAGCGGGGCGCCUGUCCCUUAGGUCCUGCCGAGAGGAGAGUGGAGGGGAUCUUGGAUGGCCGACACGACUAGAGCCGUCCCUUACUUGCUCUCCUGCAGGGCGAUCCUCUCUGGCCUCAGUUUCCCAUCCGUAAAAGGUGGAGUUAAAAGGACCAGUCUCAAAGGAGAGGUUGCAAAUGAAUCAUUCAUUCACAAAAACCACUUAGCAAGCACCUGCUAGACUCGUCUCUGGCCUCGAAAGGAGGCCCCAGGCCAGAAGAGGAGACAAACCCAGAAACGAAUAUAAAAUUGCUUUGUGAUGUUACAGGGAAAAAAAAAAAAAAAAAAGCUCCUAAUCUGAGCGUCCGUAAACAAAGGUCUUGGACCAAAAUGGGGGGCACUUGUAGCUUUGUCUCUCUUCCAGAGGCAGAAUUUUUCUAACUCUGAAGCGGUGGCCAAACUGAUUCAAUGCUAUUUAAAUAAGAGGACGAAUCCCUUUGUUUCUCUCUUUUCAGCUUUUAGACUUUCCCUAGUCUUCUGACUGAAGAUAAGCCCUUUCCUGUCUCCUGUGGUAAUAAUGUGUCGUAAACUGUGGGGAAUCUCUGUGCCUAACUAAGAAAGCUGUCUGGACCCUCAUACUGGCUACUGUUUCAGCAGAAUCUUAAGACAUUGUUUUGUUUUCACUGUAGCUUGUAUUAAAGGUUACCUUCUAAGUAUGGUCCGUGAUUAACAAGUGGCUUACGUUCAGAAAAAUUUUUAGGUAAAUAAUAGUACAGUUGUUUUGCAGAUAUGACAAAAAUCCUGGCCAUCAACGGUCUGAAAUUUGGUAAAUUCUAUGCUAAGAGUCAUGGGCAGCCACUGAUUAAAUGCGACAAUAACUACUAAGCACUUAGCACUUGCCUCCCCCAGACAACCUCAUCGACUCUUCCAGGCCUGGGUUGGGCAUUCCUGGGACGGACAUUUGAACACAGAUGCGAACUAGAACAUUAAUUUACCCUUCCAGACGGUGAGUAGUGUUUGAAGGAAGGCUGAGAAGAGGGGUAAAGGGGCUGGGAGGCAGAGUGGGGAGCGUCUUUAGAUCAGAUGGCCAAAGAAGGCCUCUCCCAGGAGGUGACAUUCCGGCAGAGAUCUGAACAAAGUGAGAAUGGAUGUCUGGGAGAGGAGCAUUGCAAACAGAAGCAACACCAAGUGCAAAGGCCCUGGACUGGGACAUGCCUGGCCUGUUCUCCAAGCAGAAAAGAGGCCACGGUGGAUGAAGCAGAGGGGAGCUGGAGAGUGACAUUAUCCAACUUGCAUUUUUAGAAGAUCUGUGUGGCUGCGGGGUAGGAUAGAUUGUGGGGGCGAGAGCAGGGGGGAAGCCACUGCCCUGAUCCGUGUGAGAGGUAAAGAGCAGCCCACACCAACAUCAGAGCCAGGAGGUGGAGAAAGUGGAGUGGGAUGAGAGGUCAAGUUGACAGCACCUGUGACUGGGUGCCAUGGGCAGGAAGGAGAAAAAGGGAUCCAAGGAGGAUUCCUCAGUUGGGAGGCCAGGGAGACAUGGGAAGGGGCCUCGGACAGAAAGCCUGGGGGUGGGGGAGGGGGUCCAGGCUGGAGAGCAAAAUUUGGGAGCCGGCAUAGAGUGGCAUUUAAGGCCCUGCGACUGAAUGAGACUACCUACAAAGGGGUGAGUGUAGACAGCCAGAGAGAGGCCCAGGGCCUGAGGUGGGAGGAAACCAGAAGUGUGGAGGCCUGGGAGGAGGCAAGAGUCAACCCGGUCAAAUCCCUAGGAUGAAACCAAACUCUGGAGCUGAGCGGGGACGCU